AGAGCUUGCUCUCUGAUGGCGAGUGGCGAACGGGUGAGUAACAUAUCGGAACGUGCCUAGGUAAUGGGGAAUAACGUAAUCGAAAGAUUAGCUAAUACCGCAUACGACCUACGGGUGAAAGCAGGGAGCUUUCGGACCUUGCGUUAUUAGAGCGGCCGAUAUCUGAUUAGGUAGUUGGUAGGGUAAAAGGCCUACCAAGCCGACGAUCAGUAGCUGGUCUGAGAGGACGAUCAGCCACACUGGAACUGAGACACGGUCCAGACUCC
RNAcentral lists this ribosomal RNA (266 nucleotides) under unidentified marine bacterioplankton. RNAcentral's name for it is "partial 16S ribosomal RNA". It matches the Rfam family "Bacterial small subunit ribosomal RNA", at positions 75 to 339 of the family's 1533-position model. The record is from RNAcentral.